ACAUUAACCUAGACACGCAGAAAGGGAUAAAUCACGUUCUCUCCUUGAGUCCUCCCGCCCCCAAAACACAUGUGAACAUUUUGAUUGGCUGUGCAUUUCCCUGCUAUCAUGUGAGAGGCUGUGGCUGCGUUCAGAUACAAGCAGCACCAAAUGCAGUGGAUUUUUUUCCCCGUGCAAGAAGGUGUGUUGGGUGUGGUGACACAUGUGAGGAUGGCGGCAGCAAAAAAAAAAGAAGCUGGACAUAAGGAGCUUUUUUUCAAAGAAAAGUGUGACAGAACCUAAACAACUGUACUGUGUAUCAGACAGUGAUGGAGAGAAGGGGUCACAGGGGACAGAAGCAGAUCAGCCAUGUUGUAGUUCAGGUGAAGAGGCAAGGUCACAGGAGGUGAAUCUGAAUGUUGAUUAUAUAUAACAUAUACUAUGUGUGUGUGUAUUAUACAUGUUGAUUAUACUAAUAUUUAACAUUAUGAGGAGUGAUAGGCUGAGGAUGUAAGUGAUUCAUUAGUGUUUUUGGCAAAAGUUUUGAAUUGACAUGUCUCACUUUUUUGUCACGCUAUUUCAUCAGGUGGCAAUCCUGUCAGGUACUAGUGCAGUCAGAGGGGAAGAGUUAGGGUCAAAGGUCAGGCCUAUUAAAGGCAUUGUCCAGCCCCCAAAAAAACUUUACUCACUAUUUACUCCUUAAGU
This is a long non-coding RNA of Brienomyrus brachyistius, 684 nucleotides long. RefSeq lists it as uncharacterized. NCBI's taxonomy places the organism in Eukaryota, Metazoa, Chordata, Actinopteri, Osteoglossiformes, Mormyridae. The transcript is spliced from 3 exons. The record is from RefSeq and is a predicted model, not a curated record.